Molecule: ribosomal RNA, 301 nt
Filed under: uncultured bacterium
Lineage: Bacteria
Description: partial 16S ribosomal RNA
Rfam family: Bacterial small subunit ribosomal RNA
Source: RNAcentral
CAGUCGCCGCGGGAAUACGUAGGGUGCGAGCGUUGUCCGGAAUUAUUGGGCGUAAAGAGCUUGUAGGUGGUUUGUCGCGUCUGCUGUGAAAAUCCGAGGCUCAACCUCGGACUUGCAGUGGGUACGGGCAGACUAGAGUGUGGUAGGGGAGACUGGAAUUCCUGGUGUAGCGGUGGAAUGCGCAGAUAUCAGGAGGAACACCGAUGGCGAAGGCAGGUCUCUGGGCCAUUACUGACACUGAGAAGCGAAAGCAUGGGGAGCGAACAGGAUUAGAUACCCCAGUAGUCCCUGUCUCUUAUAC